GGAUCCGUGGCUCAACGGUAGAGCAACCGCCUCUUGAGCGGAAGUGUGGAGGUUCGAUUCCUCCCGGAUCCA
This 72-nucleotide transfer RNA is filed under the name Chondromyces crocatus. It matches the Rfam family "tRNA". Rfam says of the family: Transfer RNA (tRNA) molecules are approximately 80 nucleotides in length. Their secondary structure includes four short double-helical elements and three loops (D, anti-codon, and T loops). Lineage: Bacteria; Pseudomonadati; Myxococcota; Polyangiales; Polyangiaceae. The record is from Rfam by way of RNAcentral.